Macaca fascicularis (crab-eating macaque) is the source of this 2394-nucleotide long non-coding RNA. The record is from Ensembl. Lineage: Eukaryota; Metazoa; Chordata; Mammalia; Primates; Cercopithecidae.
UAUAUUAUGUGCCAGGAUGCAAGUAGUGGCAAAUUAGGCACCGUUCUUGCUUUCAUGAAACGUAUAGCUUCAUGAUUUAGUCUAGACAUUGUCAAAUCAUCACCCAAAUAUAAUUACAAAGUACUCUAAAGGAAAGGCACAUGAUGCUCUGAGAACAUUCACCUGCGAAACCUGAAUCACCUUUGAGAAACUGUUUCAGGGGCUCUUGGAAGUCUACUGCUCCCAAAUAUCUCUGCUACCCACUGGCCAUUGCUUUACAUUCCUCAACUUAGCUUUCAUCUUUUAGUGCUAACCUUUGAUGGCUGAUCAAAUACAAAUGCCCCAAGAAGAGUAAGGAUACGAGAAGGAAUAUCUGUACCUGUGAAACAUUGUUAGGCUGCCUGGCUAUGAGUUCAUUGUUGUUUUCUGAAGGACAUAACCAACCACUCCAAAACGUAUAGGCUUAAAACAACAAACAUGUAUCAUUUCUUAUGAUUCUGUGGGUUGGCUGGGUGGUUCUUCUGGCUGAGGCAGGAUGGUCUAGGAUAGCUACAUCCAUAUGUCUGGGGUCCCAGCUGAGAUGACUGGGGCUGUUGAGGCCUUUCUCCCUGUGGUGUCAUCCUCCAGAAGGCUGCCCAGAUUUGUCCAUAUGGUGGCAGGAGUUUCCUCAAAGCAAGAGAGGGCAAGACCCAACACAGAAGCACUUUUCAAGCUCUGUUUCCAUCACAUUUGCAAAUGUCUCACUGAUGAACACAAGUUCCCUGGCCAAGCCCAGUUUUAAGAAAUGGAGAAAUAGGGCUAGGCUUGGUGGCUCAGGCCUGUAAUCCCAACAUUUUGGGAGGCCGAGGCAUGCGGAUCACUUGAGGUCAGGAGUUCUAGACCAGCCUGGCCAACAUGGUGAAACCCCGUCUCUACUAAAAAUACAAAAAUUAGCUGGGCGUGGUGGCGGGCAUCUGUAAUCCCAGCUACUCGGGAGGCUAAAGCACAAGAGUUGCUUGAAGCCAGGAGGAGGAGGUUGCAAUAAGCCUAAAUCAUGCCACUGCACUUCAGCCGGGUGAUAGAGCCAGACUCAGUCUCAAAAAAAAAAAAAAAAAAAAAGGGGAAUAGAUGCCAUCUCCUUAUGGGAGGAGCUACAAAAUACAGUGACCAAUUUUUCAAUCUACCACAGGAAGCAUCCUCAGUUCUCUGAAACUAUGUCUGGUACGUGUCUUGGGGUCUUAAAACAUGGCUCUGAUGGUAUCACCAAAGACAAGUGGCAAAAUCGUUUAGGGCAGGGCAGUCUUAUCAUUAGUAGUUAGCCGAAGGAUUUACUUUGGAGGAAUCAAGACACUUCUAGAUGAAGAAGUUUUGAUGCUUGUUAAACAGUCCAUUUGGAUACUUCUUAGCUAUCCUCGAGGGAUGAAUCUGACUUCUCAUUUCACAGGAUUCACCGUAGAUAAUGGUUGUAAUUCCUACCUGAAGUUCCUGGCCAGAAGCCCAGCAGAAAGAUUCAGUAUAUGCAGAAAAGAUGACUCCAAAAACAGUUGGGCCUUCUGUUCUAACUGUACUUCCUUCCUUGACGUACUCGUCUAGUCUCGAGGCUUUAAAUGUCAAGCCUUUGAUAAUAACAUGUGUACCUAAGUGCCUACUGGACAUUUUCAUGUCUCAAACUUAACAUGUCCAAAUUGAAACUUGUGAUUCUGUCCCCAAACUUGUUUGAACCCCAGUCUUCACAGAAAACUGGGUGCCAUCCUUAAUUCUCUGAUUUUUCUCUUUUUCUUAGCCUCCUUGUCUAAUCUAGCAGCAGAUCCUAGGGUUUUACUUCUAAAUAUAUCUCAAAUCUGAUCAUUUUUCUCCAUUUUCAUUGCCAUGACCUUGGUCCAGGCCACCAUUGUUUUCUGCCCUAGAGAGCUACCACAGAGUUCCUAACGUUUCCCUACUCGCAUAAUUACUCCCCAUUAGUCCAUUUCUCUCACAGGAGCAACUCUCUCUAUAUAUAUUAUUUAUGUAUUUAUUUUUUGUAGAGACAAAGUCUUGCUAUGUUGCCCAAGCUGGUUUCAAAUUCUGGCCUCAAGCGAUCCUCUUGCCUUGGCCUCCUGAGUCACUCGGAUUGUUUGUAUGAGCCACCUCAAUGGCAAUCUCUUAAAAAUCUAAAUAAAUGAACAGCUCAGUAACACUGAGGUUUACUUCAAUACCCCAUACGAAAACAAUCCAAACCUUGGCAAGGUGGUGAAACCCUGUCUCUACAAAAAAUACAAAAAAUUAAUUGGGCAUGGUAGCCUGCACCUAUAGUCUCAGCUACUUGGGAGGCUGAGGUGGGAGGAUCGCUUGAGCCCUGGAGGUCAAGAAUACAGUGAGCCAUAUCCAUGAUUGUACUCCUGUGCCACUCCAGCCUGGGUGACAGAGCAAGACCCUGUCCCCCUCUCAAAAGAAAAA